This 103-nucleotide microRNA precursor is filed under the name Marmota monax (woodchuck). Lineage: Eukaryota; Metazoa; Chordata; Mammalia; Rodentia; Sciuridae. The record is from RNAcentral.
AGUGAGAUAACUGGGUCAAAUGGUGGUUCCAUUUUAAAUUUUUUAAGAAAUCUCCAUACUGUUUUCCAGAGUGGUUGUACCAAUUUGCAGUACCACCAAUUAU